UUUGAGUGGUGGAGACGACCGUAGCCAAUCAGAUGCUCUUCUUCAUCCUAUGGAACCAAUUGCAGACUUUCAAUUUGCCUAGCACUACCCAAGGGAGUUGGCAGAGGCCUCUGGAGUUGUCACCCACUCUACAGCAGCAAGGCUCCUCAGAAGCAGAAAAUACUGGUUUGUGCCACCACGCCUAUGGAAGUUUCGUGGAAUAUUUUGUCAUGCCUCUACUGGAAUCUUCAGAGGAAGAAGAGGGUAGUAUAGAGGAAAAAAAAGAAAAAGUCUUUCCUUAUCUCAUUUCCUAAGAGAUUUUUGACUUCAUGGUCCUCUUAAUUGUUUCCCUUUUAUACCUUAGAUAUUCUUUCAGGUUUCAACCUAGAGGUUUCAGAGCUCUUGUGUUGAGAGAUCCUCAGUGAAUUGGCUUGAUUCUAAUUUGGUUCAGAUGUCCCAAGUUUCCAAUGAAUUCCACCAGAAUGCUCUUAUAGGUUCCAGCACUUUCCCAUCCUUCUUAGACUUCACUAGACAUUUCUUGCCAAAAAGCCUAGAGGUAGGCUGGAGGCUCUGAGGAUUAAAGGUAUAUGAUUUGCACUAAGGGAACUCAUAACUCAGUUUUUCUUUAACCAGAAAUCUAAGAUAUCAGGACAUUUGCUAUGUGCUGGGAACUUUUGGAAGGAUUCUCUGGCCAACUCAGAAUCCAUGGUGCCCUAAUAUGUUUCUAAAUAUUUUGUACACCUACAAUGUUGCUCUUCAGUUGUUUCAGCCAUGUCCAACUCUUUAUGACCCAUUUUGGUUUUGUAGCAAUAUACCAGAAUGGUUUGCCAUUUCCUUCUCUGCCUCAUUUUACAGAUGAGGAAACUGAAGCAAAUGGGGUUAAGUGCCUUGCCCAGUGUCAUACAGCUAGGAAGUUUCUGAGGCCAGAUUUGAACUCAGGGAGAUGAGUCUUCUUAACUCUAGGCUCAGUAUUCUAGCUACUCUACUACUUAGCUGUCCCCCCAUGCUUACAAUGUAGAAGGCUUUGGAAGCUAGAAAGAUGAAGAGAAAUGUUAAAUUGACUCCACACACAUAUAAAGUACCUUCUAAGUGCCAGGUACAACACCAAGGAUUUGGGGGUGGAAGGGAUAAAAAGACAAAGCCAAAACAAUACUUGACCUCAAGUGGCUUCCAUUCCAUAGGGGAAACAGUGCAUAAAAAAAGUCAAAGAUAAACGCAGACUAAUAUUACAUUUGGGGAGGAUUAAGGAAAGGUCUCCUUUCUGAGGUUCUAGUGUUUGCACUGUGUCUCUAGGGACUAUAAAAAUGGAAGUGAGAAGGGAGUAUUUAUGGGAAUGAGAGCUGGCUGUAUAAAGCAUGGAGAUGGGAGAUCAGAAACGGAAUGUUAUCUAAAUGGAACUGUAAGAAGGCCAGUUUGAAUGGGAGGUGGUGUGUAUAAAGGAGAAUAAUGUGUCAUUACUUGAUAAAAAGGUUAUAAAUUGUGAUGGGUUAUUUCUGCCAAAAAAGAGAGUUUAUAUUUUAUACUAAGGUAAUAAGAAACCAUUGCAGCUUCUUGAGCAGGGAAACAACAUAGUUAGGUCCUAUGCUAUAGGAAUGUUAAUUUGCUACUGGUGUCAAGGAUAGACAGGAGAAAGGAGAGACUUGAGGCAACAGGGCUAGUUAGAAGAUUAUACUAGAUGGCUCACUGGACUACAGCACUAAGCCUGUAAUAAGAAAGACCUGAGUUAAAGUAGCUAGCUCGUAGUAACCCGUAGCCCUUAAUAAAUGCUUUUUUUCCUUCCUUCA
This 1763-nucleotide long non-coding RNA is filed under the name Monodelphis domestica (gray short-tailed opossum). RNAcentral's name for it is "lncRNA (ENSMODG00000047080.1)". The record is from RNAcentral. Lineage: Eukaryota; Metazoa; Chordata; Mammalia; Didelphimorphia; Didelphidae.